ACAAUGAUACUUCUGCCCAGUCCCAGCCGCAAGCAAGGAGGGCAGCCGGGAGAGAUCCUCGCGGGGGUGAGACGCCCAUGA
RNAcentral lists this non-coding RNA (81 nucleotides) under Candidatus Pseudobutyricicoccus lothianensis. RNAcentral's name for it is "pemK RNA". It matches the Rfam family "pemK RNA". Lineage: Bacteria; Bacillati; Bacillota; Clostridia. The record is from RNAcentral. RNAcentral also lists the same sequence under 2 other names.